Molecule: long non-coding RNA, 3709 nt
Organism: Gambusia affinis (western mosquitofish)
Lineage: Eukaryota; Metazoa; Chordata; Actinopteri; Cyprinodontiformes; Poeciliidae
Exons: 2
Source: RefSeq, a predicted model, not a curated record
AUCUCACGAUCCCAGAAACAGGAAACAAGAGGACGGGACGAGGGGCCCGGCUAGUACUUCCUCUCACCCCGCCAUGGAAUGAUGGCAAUUUGUGCCUGUCAUUCCGGCACAAGCUGGCAGGCCACCAUGUGGGAAUGCUUCAAGUGUUUGUGAAAAAGGGAAAGCAGUACAGUCCUGCAGUGUGGGGCCGAACGGGGGGCAAUGGCUGGAGGCACACCCAGAUCACUUUAUGGGGUACAGGCCUGGAAAGUGUCAUCUUGAAGGGGGAACGUGGGAGAGGCAGAAGUGGAGAGAUGGCUGUGGAUGAUAUUACCUUGAGGAAAGGCUCCUGCACAGAGGAGCACAAUCUAAGGAGACUCUGACUGAAAAAAUGGUGAAGGGCAGACAAAAAGCACAACGAGAGGAAAAAUCAUCCUAAAGAGAAGAGACUCUGCUGUGACACCUCCUUAUUCUGCUCUGAUCCUUACUUUGUCCUUCUCACCCCCCAGCCCUACUGUGAGUGGUAUCAAAAGUUAUGCAUACAGUUUAGUGUUACAGGAGGUUUUUCCUAUUCAUCUGUCCAUGAACAAGAAGACCUUAGUUCUCACGGGGAUAUUUUUGGCAGCACUCUCCGGUCGUCUCAGCCCACAAUUUCAGUUCUCUGAACUGUGCAUGUACUGAUGUAUUAUGGAAAUGUACUGCAUCUCACAUUGGCUCUGGCAGCCUCCAGUCACACCAGGAAGAUUCAUUCAUUUUUCUAAGUAGAAAUCUGUUCCCUUGCUUAGCAUUUUUGUUUUGUCCAAAUAUUGUAAACACAGUCUAUAUGUUUUAAUUCGUUUGCUUGUGAAACACACGACCACAAAUGCAGUUCCUGUUUUUGAUAAAGAACAAUACUAGACUUGGUGCUGUUUUAUUUUUAGAAGAAGUUCAAUUUGCCAAAAUUAGGUUUUAAAAUUGGAUUUUUCUAAAUGGAUGUAGUUCCAGAGUUCACAUCGACGGUCCCUGUGUCAAACUUCAAUGCAAUAAAGCUGUAAAUUUCCGCCAAAAAUUUCAGAAUUUUUUAGAUUAAUUUACAUAUUUACUUGGAUAAAGACUUUGAAAUGUCUUCACUUUUCAAAAUAAUUAACAUUCUGUGUGAUUAAAGACCAAAUUUAAACAUUAAAACUAAAGUCAGAAAUUUGUUAGAUAUUUAUUUUAUUUGUCAGAAAUAUCUCAGAAGUUUUCUGUGAUUAUAAAGUCAGGAGCUGCACAUCUGGAUAAUUUAAGUGGUAGAUCUGGCUUCUUUUCUUGCAUCAGAAUGACAUUUCCCACAUUCAGACCUGAUGCAGCCAUGUUGACGCUUUUUUCCCUCAUUGUCUUAGAUGUGCAUUUUGAAUCACAGUUGAAGUGUUUAUGUCAGGUCUAAACUCAGGAGAUGUCUUUCUGAAAGAGGAAAAGAGCCUAGAACCACCCACCCUGUGCAUCUCUUAAAUUUACCACUUAAGCCCUAGACGACUUCCGUCACUUUUUGUCACACAUGUCUGACUUUAUAAUCUCAAUAAAGGUCUUUGUUUUCUGCACCUUUCAAAUUUCUGGCUUUAUAAUAUCAGAAAAUAUCUUUGUUUUGUUGUUGGAAAUUUGUGCCCAUUUUAUGAAGAAGUGUAUCCUUUGUCUUGCUAUUUAAAACGUCAAGUUUUUCCUUGUAAAUUUGUGAAAUUGAUCUUAAAAUUUCAGAUUUUGGUGAAGAUUUACGUCUCUGCGGAUAGUUUUUAUUUUUCUUUUAUCUACAGUACAACAUGAUAUUUGAAUGCAUAACUGAGGUGUCAAAUAUUUAUAUGUGAACAGUUAUAGAAAUGAGACUAAAAUAUUAUUUCUAAUGUAAUUAAUGCAAAUAAAUAUAUGCAUAUUUGAGGAUAUUUAACUCAAUGCUUUUUUCAAAACAUUAAAUGUGAAAAUAAUUAAAAUUUUUACUCACCUUAUGUUAAAAAAGAUAUAAAUGUUUUAGCUUUGAUGUAUUUGUUUUAAGGGUGUGUUUUGCAACACACAAUGAAUUGACUGAGACUAUAACUCAUUAAAGUCAGUGAGCAGAGCUAACACUGCUAUACAAAAAGGGAUUAAUCUACAGUUUGGUUGUGCAAUUUUGCCUAUUAAAUGUGAUGAUGGACAGCAGCACAAGAAAUAUUAAAUAAUAAAUAGAUACUGAAAUAUGAAAUAGGAUAUGAUUUUCACAUAUUAAUUGAAGUGUUAGUUAUCUCUGCAUUUAAUUAUAAUGUAUAUUCUAAAUAUAUUGACAUAUUUAAAUAAAAAUACAUAGUUUCUUUUCUUGUAUGUAUUUAUUGCAGUUUCCUAAAAACUGUCACAUAUAAAUGUAUUUCACAAAUUGUUUAUUUAUUGAUUAGAAGCCCUUCUGUUCCUUUAUCAAUUUGAAACCGAUAAGUUAAAGGGACAGUUCAGUUUUUAUUAAAUAUUUUCACCUAAGAAUACGUUUUCGUAGUUUAGGCGAAUGACAUGUUAUAAACACUUUGCAUUGCUUUUGGAUCAUUUAGUUGUGUGUGAUGUUUUAAAAGAGUUGUGCUCUGGUACCAAGUGUGGAGAGUCUUCGAUGUAAAAAACUGACUGAUGCAAAAGCGGUAACAAUGAACAAAGAACCACUGUUAAAAAUUCUCAUUUUAGCUAAUAUAGAUGUAAAAAAAAAACAACCUUUAUUUGAGUUUAUUGAGUUCUGAGUUGAUCUUUGACUCCAAUAAGUUUUCCAAACUGAGACCUCUCUGUUGUUUCCUGUAAGUGAGAUACUGACUGUCCACAAGCGCUCAUAUGGACCAAUCCCCUACAAAAACAAAAGAAAAAAAACACCCAAGAAUUGUGAAAUCAUAUUUUUGUUUAUCUGAGAAUACUGUUUUAUAUGUUAUUUCAAGAACCUACUGACAUGACAGUACAAAUACAGUCAAGUUCAGACAAGUACAGUCAAGUACAGUCAAGUACAGGUGGGUUUUCGGUUCUCAUUGAUUUCUUGGAGAAAUACAUAAUUUUAUGGUUGUUGUGAAUAUUAAACAUACCAAAUAUAAUACCUGGAAUGCACUGCACCAUACUGUAAAAUGUUUUGUCUACAUUUAGAAAUAGCUUUACAAUUUAGUGAUUUUGAAAGCAGACGUUAUGGUUCUUCUACAGUUUGCCCCUGGAAAAUCUUGCUCUACCACUUCAGCCUCCUCUUUCACCAUGGAAAAUCUCACUCACCUGUAUGCGAUUGUGGUCUAAAUAUUCAUACCCUGUAAGAACAAGCUCAGUAUUCCAAGGAAAAAAAAAAAAAAAGCCUUUGAAUAUUCCUGGUUUUUGACAUAACUUGUUAUGGUAGUUACUUCUGCAUAUCUUGGAAGAGCACCAGGUUUCCUCUUUUUUUUUUUUUUUUUCGUUUUGCAAAAUGAUUUUGUUGUUCAGUACCAUCCCCAUCCCUACUUUUGUCUGAUGCCCCCUGCAGACGAACUACCUGAAGUGUUUCGAAAAGAAGGGGCAAAGGAUUUCGGGCACUCACAAUUGAACGUUUUCUUUGUAUUGUGCUUUGUUAUAUGAGAUGUAUUUGUUACUGACAUUGAUUGAUGAGCAGAAUGGUAUAUUUGUAAAUGUAUUCAUGUGUACAUACUCUGUACAAUGCCAUAAGCUGGUGUGAUUUAUAUGUUAUGUAAAUUCAUAUAUGAAUGUUGAUUGGACUUGGUUGGUAUUUCAGUAUUUAAUUAAAGACCCGGUGGAAGCCUUA